UACGGGGGGGGCAAGCGUUGUUCGGAAUUACUGGGCGUAAAGGGCUCGUAGGCGGCCAACUAAGUCAGACGUGAAAUCCCUCAGCUUAACUGGGGAACUGCGUCUGAUACUGGAUGGCUUGAGUUCGGGAGAGGGAUGCGGAAUUCCAGGUGUAGCGGUGAAAUGCGUAGAUAUCUGGAGGAACACCGGUGGCGAAGGCGGCAUCCUGGACCAACACUGACACUGAGGAGCGAAAGCCAGGGGAGCAAACGGG
Molecule: ribosomal RNA, 253 nt
Filed under: uncultured bacterium
Lineage: Bacteria
Description: partial 16S ribosomal RNA
Rfam family: Bacterial small subunit ribosomal RNA
Source: RNAcentral